RNAcentral lists this ribosomal RNA (577 nucleotides) under Staphylococcus pseudintermedius. Its description in RNAcentral is "partial 23S ribosomal RNA". It matches the Rfam family "Bacterial large subunit ribosomal RNA", at positions 615 to 1191 of the family's 2925-position model. The record is from RNAcentral. Lineage: Bacteria; Bacillati; Bacillota; Bacilli; Caryophanales; Staphylococcaceae.
AUGAACCGGCGAGUUACGAUCUGAUGCAAGGUUAAGCAGAAAAUGUGGAGCCGUAGCGAAAGCGAGUCUGAAUAGGGCGAAUGAGUAUUUGGUCGUAGACCCGAAACCAGGUGAUCUACCCUUGGUCAGGUUGAAGUUCAGGUAACACUGAAUGGAGGACCGAACCGACUUACGUUGAAAAGUGAGCGGAUGAACUGAGGGUAGCGGAGAAAUUCCAAUCGAACUUGGAGAUAGCUGGUUCUCUCCGAAAUAGCUUUAGGGCUAGCCUCAAGUGAUGAUUAUUGGAGGUAGAGCACUGUUUGGACGAGGGGCCCCUCUCGGGUUACCGAAUUCAGACAAACUCCGAAUGCCAAAUAAUUUAACUUGGGAGUCAGAAUGUGGGUGAUAAGGUCCAUAUUCGAAAGGGAAACAGCCCAGACCACCAGCUAAGGUCCCAAAAUAUAUGUUAAGUGGAAAAGGAUGUGGCGUUGCCCAGACAACUAGGAUGUUGGCUUAGAAGCAGCCAUCAUUUAAAGAGUGCGUAAUAGCUCACUAGUCGAGUGACACUGCGCCGAAAAUGUACCGGGGCUAAACAUAU